This is a long non-coding RNA of Centruroides sculpturatus (bark scorpion), 1420 nucleotides long. RefSeq lists it as uncharacterized. NCBI's taxonomy places the organism in Eukaryota, Metazoa, Arthropoda, Arachnida, Scorpiones, Buthidae. The transcript is spliced from 3 exons. The record is from RefSeq and is a predicted model, not a curated record.
UCUUCGUUGUAUAUAUUUCAAACAAUGAAUAAUAAUGUGUUUUAUCAUUAUUAUUUAAUAAAAAUCGAUUAACAAUGAGAUCGUUCUAUCUGAAAAUAUCGGAAGAUUGAAAUCGUAAAGUUUUGUUGAAUUCUGCGAAAGGCAAUGGGAUUACGGCAUUACAUGAUCGAAGAUGAAUGAAGGCAAUCAAAUUAAAAAGAUUAGGAUAGGUUGGAAGAAAAUAACGCUUUUGCUGUACCUUAACUCACUGUCCACCAUUCGUCUCUAAGCCAUCCUCAGAGUUUUCUCCUCGUCGAUAAAGUCACACGUUCUUCAAAUUAUAUACAAGAAAACAAACAUAUGUAUUGAAUUGGAGCAGCAUUUCUCGCCAAUCAUGCGAUGACUCUACUUUUUGGAUUCGCCGGAAGAUUCAAUUUAAAAAUAGAACUUAAACUUCUGUGAUUUACACCAUUCACUCAUUAAUUCUACUUUUCGAAUUUAUUACAGGAUCUCCCGUCUGAAAGUAGGACAUUCAUUCUGCACAGUCGCUGAUAAAUUGUGUACAGGCUAUAGACAACAAUUCGAUUGCAGCAUCAUUUUUUUUCCGAUCUCAAAUAAUUUGGGUUGUCGUAAUGCAAAAUUAUUUGAAAUAUCCAUGGAAAUACGAAAGCUGUACCAAAAGUAAAUAAUAGAUUCCGAGCAGAAGCAACGUGCCGUCAUCCAGUUCUUGAAGGAAAGGUGCAGGUUGUCGGACAUCCACAGAAGACUACAGAAUGUUUACCGAGCAAUAUAACAGAUCGAUGAAAAAGUUUAACGAAGGACAAACCAGCAUUGAAGACAAAUCACGCAGCAGGAAAUCAUACAGUGGUCUCCCGCUUCGUGGUUUGUCUUCUCUGUUUGACAUUCUCACCUCAUUGCAGUUGUACAAUGUAGUGAGAAUGUCACACAGCGGACGGUAGAACACUUAGAUAUCGGACCACCGAUCAUCAAAGUUUCUUUCGGGUUUUUAGGUAACGAAUAUAUAUAACUACGUUUUGCAGCAUAAUUUUAUAAGAGUGGAUUAGUAGACUUUUAUAGAUGAAUAAGGUUGUGGAUAUAUUCAGUACUUUUGACUGUAAAUUAGAUUACGCCCCACUAUAAAUUGGCUAGACCUAUGGAUCAAAGUGAGAAGAUUGCAGUUUUUGAGUUUUGUAUUAUAAGAGUAGGCCUAAUAAACAUUCCGAGUGUGUGGAUUAGGGUGGGUGAAACUCUAUACGUGAAGUUCAUGUGCAGAGUUACACGCAUUCUAAUUCUAGAUGGAACUCUCACACGGCCACCUCCACGUGGUGAGUUCUGGGUUGUCAUUCGUCGAGAAAAGACGAAAGGCAAGCGAAGAGCCGUGUAAUUAACUCUUUUCACGUUUCUCUCAAUGUUCUUACUGUAAUUUGUGUGGCGAGUAACG